AGAAAAAUAAUGAAUAUUCAUGAUAUUAUCGAAGAAGAGAUGCUGAACAGUUGAAAAACACGAAGCAGUCACGAUGGUCAUGCUUCCCUAGUUGUGUGUGAGUAUGUGAAUUUUUACGAUUUUUCAACCAAAAUCCUGGGAAAAUUCAACAUGUUAAUUUCCUGAUUUUAGUGAGACAAUAAUUUUUUUUUUGCAAUUUUAGUGAACAUGGCCACAUAGUUCAUGUGAUUCCCCGUGAACUUGAGAACACAUAUUUAAAAAAUCUCUCUGACAACUGUUUUGGUUAGGAUUUAAUUUGGGUUUAAACCUAUAGUCUGAGAAGUCUACAGAAUGAUAGUGAAGUAGACCGAUAACAAAGCCUGCAAAAGCAACAUGAAGACGGACAGCUUUGCAGCAGGUUUAUAUUCUUAGAUGCCAGCAGAAACAAGCCAAAACAAAUGGCCGCCUUGGAAACUAUAGGAUAUUAGCCCAAUACAGUAGUAAUACAGUUGAUGAUUUACUUUCAUAUUAAAUUGUGCUUUCUCAGUUGCUGCCAAGCAAGAUGACAGUCAGAUACCAUGGCCAAUGAAGUGUCUACAUCCAACCUGUAUUUUCCAGAUAAGUUCGCGGCUUUCAUAACAGCUGGGCUCAUAUGUUUUGCUGUGUAUACCUGUUGAUGGAAAGCUCCAGCUUCGCCAUUCCCAUUGCUGACAGUUUCGUUCAGUGUUCUUAGCUUGGAUGCUCGCCUUGCUAGUGUUUUUGCUGAAGCUACAUCGCUAGAAACUUUACAGUUUGGGAUGAUGGCAACUUUAGUUGGCUGUGUAGAAAAUUACAUUUUCAUGUGAAACUGUGUGAUGAUUUUGUCAUUUAUUAUAUAUUUUGAAAAAUGGAUUAUACAAAAUAGUAAUGCAAUUACCCGUCCAUUGGUGGAAAUCAGCAUCUCCUUGUUUUUCUUCAGACUGUCAUAAACAAUCUUUUCUGCAAAGGUCUGGAUUUUCUGAGGAACAUGUUGGUGUUUUUUUAAAAUUUCCUCCAACACAGAGACCGCAUUACAGGCAGAGAAUGCUUGCUCUCGCUCAGUUCAUUUUUUGCUGCAAACAUGUGCUCUACUAUCAGUGUACGAUACACUGUUGUCGCAACUUGUACAUUUAAGUUGUACGAUUUGUGAUGCCGAAUUGAAAUCAUGCACUGACAUUGGAUAAGUGCACACAAGACAAGAACGUUUAUUAACACGAAGUGUAUUAAAUAAUUUUGUCAAACAAACCGAGCAAUAAUGAUGUGCGUACUUUGAUACUAAAUUGUCUAGUGAUAAAAUGCAGCUACAUAUUGUACACAUAUAAUUUUCAGGAUUUAUCUGAUUGUGUACUAUGAAUUUUGAAUCAAUUGUGUUAUUGCUUACUUUCAGAAAUAAUUCAUUUAAUUUCACUGUGAUUUUCUUUCCUGGUUUGCUUUGUUCAGUAAAUAAAUAGCAUGUGAA
Molecule: long non-coding RNA, 1456 nt
Organism: Anneissia japonica
Lineage: Eukaryota; Metazoa; Echinodermata; Crinoidea; Comatulida; Comatulidae
Exons: 4
Source: RefSeq, a predicted model, not a curated record